This 565-nucleotide ribosomal RNA is filed under the name uncultured bacterium. Its description in RNAcentral is "bacterial SSU rRNA". It matches the Rfam family "Bacterial small subunit ribosomal RNA", at positions 415 to 982 of the family's 1533-position model. The record is from RNAcentral.
CUUUCGAGUCGUAAACUUCUUUUAAGGAAAAGAAAGUCCGCCGCAAGGCGGAUUGAUCUAUCCUAGAAUAAGCAGUGGCUAAUUACGUGCCAGCAGCCGCGGUAAUACGUAAACUGCAAGCGUUAUCCGGAAUUAUUAGGCGUAAAGGGAGCGUAGGCGUUUUGUCAAGUUCCUGGUGAAAUCUUCGGGCUUAACCCGAAAAUUGCUGGGAAAACUGAUAGAAUUGAGUUAAAGAGGGGAGAGUGGAAUUCCUGGUGGAGCGGUGAAAUGUGUAGAUAUCAGGAAGAAUACCAAUGGCGAAGGCAACUCUCUGGCUUUAAACUGACGCUGAAUCUCGAAAGCGUGGGUAUCGAACGGGAUUAGAGACCCCGGUAGUCCACGCCCUAAACGAUGAAUACUAGAUAUCGGCGGUAACCAAUCCGUCGGUGUCACAGCUAACGCGUUAAGUAUUCCGCCUGGGGACUACGGCCGCAAGGCUAAAACUCAAAGGAAUUGACGGGGACCCGCACAAGCGGUGGAGCAUGUGGUUCAAUUCGAUGCAACGCGAAGAACCUUACCUGGGUUU